AUGGUUGACCUCGGAUCAGGUAGGGAUACCCGCUGAACUUAAGCAUAUCAAUAAGCGGAGGAAAAGAAACCAACAGGGAUUACCUCAGUAACGGCGAGUGAAGCGGUAAAAGCUCAAAUUUGAAAUCUGGCUCUUUUAGAGUCCGAGUUGUAAUUUGUAGAAGAUGCUUCGGGUGUGGUUCCGGUCUAAGUUCCUUGGAACAGGACGUCAUAGAGGGUGAGAAUCCCGUAUGUGACUGGAUACCUAUGCUCAUGUGAAGCUCUUUCGACGAGUCGAGUUGUUUGGGAAUGCAGCUCAAAAUGGGUGGUAUAUUUCAUCUAAAGCUAAAUAUUGGCCAGAGACCGAUAGCGCACAAGUAGAGUGAUCGAAAGAUGAAAAGCACUUUGGAAAGAGAGUUAAACAGUACGUGAAAUUGUUGAAAGGGAAGCGCUUGCAAUCAGACUUGCACUUGGUGUUCAUCGGGGUUUCUACCCCGUGUACUUCAUCAAGUUCAGGCCAGCAUCAGUUUGGGUGGUUAGAUAAAGGCUUAGAGAAUGUGGCCCUCUUCGGGGGGUGUUAUAGCUCUAGGUGCAAUGUAGCCUACCUGGACUGAGGACCGCGCUUCGGCUAGGAUGCUGGCGUAAUGGAUGUAAGCGAC
RNAcentral lists this ribosomal RNA (637 nucleotides) under Monilinia fructicola. Its description in RNAcentral is "eukaryotic LSU rRNA". It matches the Rfam family "Eukaryotic large subunit ribosomal RNA", at positions 1 to 648 of the family's 3401-position model. The record is from RNAcentral. Lineage: Eukaryota; Fungi; Ascomycota; Leotiomycetes; Helotiales; Sclerotiniaceae.